Molecule: long non-coding RNA, 470 nt
Filed under: Populus tremula
Lineage: Eukaryota; Viridiplantae; Streptophyta; Magnoliopsida; Malpighiales; Salicaceae
Description: long non-coding RNA (PTRE_LNC000866)
Source: RNAcentral
AAAUCUUAGCUGCAAAAGAAUAGAAAAAGAAGAAGUAAAGGUCAGAGAAAUGGAUAAACACUUAAAUAGAAUUAACACCUGAAGAAAUAUGUAAAAACCCUAAUGGAACAAAUGUUACAGGUACAACUUACAAACACACGAAGACCAGAAUUAACACAUGGAUAGACAAUAAUCUUUACCUCUUUGACUUUUUCUGCAACAAGUGAAGAGAGACGCCAGGGGUUUUGUUCGAGUUUUUUUUUACUGCAAGUAUAUUAGAUGAGAUGUAGAUGAGUGGAUGGGUGUGGAGAUGUGGUUUAUUUGUUUAUUGAUCGGCUAGAGAAGAGACAUAUGCUGAGGGUAAGAGGCAGAGAAGAUGGAGAUUGAAGGGGAAAGUAGGAAGGUGAGAAGACUUUUUGGUCUGGGUGUGGGCAGCAGCUAAGAAAGUGAAUGGUAAUGUAAUUUAGGUUUAGGUUUAUUGUACUAUUUAU